CGUCCUUCCCAUCCCUACACCCCCUCCCCCUCCCCUCACUCCCCACUACACAAACCAAAGUUCCUUCGUUCUUCCCUACCCUUCCACCCCACUAUGAAUCAGCAUCUGCUUAUCAGAGAAAACAUUCGGCUUUUGGUUUUGGGGGGAUUGGCUUCUUUCACUUGGCAUGAUAGUCUCUAGUUCCAUCCACUUACCUGCAAGUGCCAUAAUUUCAUUC
This 217-nucleotide long non-coding RNA is filed under the name Marmota monax (woodchuck). The record is from RNAcentral. Lineage: Eukaryota; Metazoa; Chordata; Mammalia; Rodentia; Sciuridae.